This 468-nucleotide ribosomal RNA is filed under the name uncultured bacterium. RNAcentral's name for it is "partial 16S ribosomal RNA". It matches the Rfam family "Bacterial small subunit ribosomal RNA", at positions 28 to 507 of the family's 1533-position model. The record is from RNAcentral.
GACGAACGCUGGCGGCGUGCUUAACACAUGCAAGUCGAACGGAAAGGCCCUGCUUUUGUGGGGUGCUCGAGUGGCGAACGGGUGAGUAACACGUGAGUAACCUGCCCUUGACUUUGGGAUAACUUCAGGAAACUGGGGCUAAUACCGGAUAGGAGCUCCUGCUGCAUGGUGGGGGUUGGAAAGUUUCGGCGGUUGGGGAUGGACUCGCGGCUUAUCAGCUUGUUGGUGGGGUAGUGGCUUACCAAGGCUUUGACGGGUAGCCGGCCUGAGAGGGUGACCGGCCACAUUGGGACUGAGAUACGGCCCAGACCGCUACGGGAGGCAGCAGUGGGGAAUAUUGAACAAUGGGAGGAAGCCUGAUGCAGCAACGCCGCGUGCGGGAUGACGGCCUUCGGGUUGUAACCCGCUUUCGCCUGUGACGAAGCGUGAGUGACGGUAAUGGGUAAAGAAGCACCGGCUAACUACGUG